Molecule: transfer RNA, 64 nt
Filed under: Leptotyphlops scutifrons
Lineage: Eukaryota; Metazoa; Chordata; Lepidosauria; Squamata; Leptotyphlopidae
Description: tRNA-Val
Source: RNAcentral
AAAAAGUAGCUUAAGAUAAAGCAUUCGACUAACAACCGGAAAAUAUUGCGCCCGAUCUUUUUGA